AGCAGCCGCGGUAAUUCCAGCUCCAAUAGCGUAUAUUAAAGUUGUUGCAGUUAAAAAGCUCGUAGUUGAAUUUCGGGAUUAACACGUCGGUCGUGCCACUGGUAUGAACUGGCGUCGUUGAUUUCUCCUUUCUGAGGAACCAUGAUGUCAUUAAUUUGAUGUCGUGGGAAAUCAGGACUGUUACUUUGAAAAAAUUAGAGUGUUUAAAGCAGGCUCGCGCUUGAAUACAUUAGCA
Molecule: ribosomal RNA, 235 nt
Filed under: uncultured Glomus
Lineage: Eukaryota; Fungi; Glomeromycota; Glomeromycetes; Glomerales; Glomeraceae
Description: partial 18S ribosomal RNA
Rfam family: Eukaryotic small subunit ribosomal RNA
Source: RNAcentral